CACAUGCAGUCGAGCGGGCGUAGCAAUACGUCAGCGGCAGACGGGUGAGUAACGCGUGGGAACAUACCUUUUGGUUCGGAACAACACAGGGAAACUUGUGCUAAUACCGGAUAAGCCCUUACGGGGAAAGAUUUAUCGCCGAAAGAUUGGCCCGCGUCUGAUUAGCUAGUUGGUGAGGUAACGGCUCACCAAGGCGACGAUCAGUAGCUGGUCUGAGAGGAUGAUCAGCCACAUUGGGACUGAGACACGGCCCAAACUCCUACGGGAGGCAGCAGUGGGGAAUAUUGGACAAUGGGGGAAACCCUGAUCGAGCGACGCCGCGUGGAGGAUGAAGGUCUUCGGGUUGUAAACUCCUGUCAUUUGAGAACAAGGCGCACGUAUUAACUGUGCAUGCGUUGAUAGUAUCAGAAGAGGAAGGGACGGCUAACUCUGUGCCAGCAGCCGCGGUAAUACAGAGGUCUCAAGCGUUGUUCGGAUUCAUUGGGCGUAAAGGGUGUGUAGGUGGCGCGCUAAGUCGGGUGUGAAAUUUCGGAGCUUAACUCCGAAACUGCAUUCGAUACUGGCGUGCUUGAGGACUGGAGAGGAGACUGGAAUUUACGGUGUAGCAGUGAAAUGCGUAAUUCGUAAGGAAGACCAGUGGCGAAGGGCGGGUCUCUGGGACAGUUCCUGACACUGGAGACACGAAGGCCCAGGGGAGCAAACGGGAUUAGAUACCCCGGGUAGUCCU
Molecule: ribosomal RNA, 727 nt
Filed under: uncultured bacterium
Lineage: Bacteria
Description: bacterial SSU rRNA
Rfam family: Bacterial small subunit ribosomal RNA
Source: RNAcentral